CCCUUAGAUGUUCUGGGCCGCACGCGUGCUACACUGGUACAAUCACUAAGUUUCUGAGUAGUUAUGCUUGGGCAAUCUUGAAAACUGUACCGUGACGGGGCUUGACUGUUGAAAUUUUCUGUCACUAACGAGGAAUUCCUAGUAAAUGUGGGUCAUGAACUCACGUUGAUUACGUCCCUGCCCUUUGUACACACCGCCCGUCACUCCUACCGAUUGGAUGUUCCGGUGAAUUCUUCGGAGUCUGCGGUAUCAAUGUUUCAUUAUACCAUAGGCGAAGUUGCGUAAACCUUAACAUUUAGAGGAAGGAGAAGUCGUAACA
Molecule: ribosomal RNA, 319 nt
Filed under: uncultured eukaryote
Lineage: Eukaryota
Description: partial 18S ribosomal RNA
Rfam family: Eukaryotic small subunit ribosomal RNA
Source: RNAcentral